CGGAAGACUCAGAGGUCCGAACCGUGCUUCGCUUCUCUUAAAGGGCGUGCACAUGGGUUCCGUACAGUGGAGCGUGUCCUUAUCAAAGAAAUGUUUACGGACAUGUUCUUCCUGAUUUUUCACUAAAGCUACAAAACGAAAUGGGCACGCCAACCCAAACGUCACUCGGCGUCCACUCCUAGCUGAGAGGAGGCCUCAUCGAGGGAGAUCAAUUCCAAACAUUCAUUUGCAACCUCCUUGUAUCCCUGGGUCUAAGGUGAGUUUCUUGUAUAUAGUAUAUAGAUGGAUCAUAUUUCCUUAUCCAUUCUGCCAA
RNAcentral lists this long non-coding RNA (313 nucleotides) under Dasypus novemcinctus (nine-banded armadillo). Its description in RNAcentral is "lncRNA (ENSDNOG00000050971.1)". The record is from RNAcentral. Lineage: Eukaryota; Metazoa; Chordata; Mammalia; Cingulata; Dasypodidae.